UUACAUGGUGUUUAAGGCCAAGCACCUGGCUAGCCAGUACUGGGGGUGCAGCCGCACAAUGGCCGGCCGUCGGGACCCCAGCCUGCCCUACCUGGAGCAGUACCGGAUUGAUGCCAGCCAGUUCCGGGAACUCUUUGCCAGCCUGACACCCUGGGCCUGUGGCUCCCACACACCUCUGCUGGCAGGGCGCAUGUUCAGGCUCCUGGACGAAAACAAGGACUCGCUGAUCAACUUCAAGGAGUUCGUGACAGGGAUGAGCGGGAUGUACCACGGGGACCUGACAGAGAAGCUCAAGGUGCUCUACAAGCUACACCUUCCCCCAGCUCUGAGCCCAGAGGAAGCCGAGUCAGCCCUGGAGGCGGCCCAUUAUUUCACAGAGGACAGCUCCUCAGAAGAAGCACUACCACAGGAAGAGCAAGAAGGAAGUGGAAGUGAGGAGAGAGGAGGAGAAGGGGACCAGCUCUCCGGACUAUCGGCACUACCUUCGAAUGUGGGCCAAGGAGAAAGAGGCUCAGAAGGAGACGAUUAAGGAUCUUCCCAAGAUGAACCAGGAGCAGUUCAUUGAGCUGUGCAAGACGCUUUACAACAUGUUCAGUGAAGACCCCAUGGAGCAGGACCUGUACCACGCCAUCGCCACCGUGGCCAGCCUCCUGCUCCGCAUCGGAGAGGUGGGGAAGAAGUUCUCAGCCCGCACAGGCAGGAAGCCCAGGGACUGUGCCACUGAGGAGGACGAGCCACCAGCACCCGAACUGCAUCAGGACGCAGCCAGGGAGCUUCAGCCCCCAGCUGCAGGAGACCCCCAAGCCAAAGCAGGCGGAGACACACACCUCGGAAAAGCCCCACAGGAGAGCCAGCACGGGCUCCCUGCAAUGUGAAGACCUUGCAGACGACACGGUGCUGGUGGGCGGGGAGGCCUGCAGCCCCACAGCGCGCAUCGGCGGCACCGUCGACACCGACUGGUGCAUCUCCUUUGAGCAGAUCCUGGCCUCCAUCCUGACGGAGUCCGUGCUGGUGAACUUCUUUGAGAAGAGAGUGGACAUUGGACUCAAGAUCAAGGACCAAAAGAAAGUGGAGAGACAGUUCAGCACCGCCAGUGACCAUGAGCAGCCUGGAGUUUCCGGCUGAUGCCUGCAGCUGUGAGGCCUGGCCCAAGGUGUCAUCAGUGGGGCUGGCCUCAUCUCCUCCUGCCUUUCCUCCCUUAUCAGUUUCUCUUUAAAGGUGUGCCCCUCCUGCUCUCCCAGGAGCAGUGAGUUGUGAGUGGAAAGAAGGCUGGUGCAGACCCAGCUGCCUUAGACAGAUUCCCUGGGCCUGCAUCUCCUGGCGCCGGCUGCUUCUGGGCCCAGGAAGAGGCUGUGGCUCCCACCUUCCUUACACCUGGUGGGAGCCCGCCUCGCACCAGCUGCACCUGCCUAGCAUUACAGGCUCUCAGAUCUGCCCUUGCUUGCCUCAUACCUCUGUGCUCCACACUGCGGCCAGGCCAGCUGAGUCCCUCCAUCCGUGGAUGCUUUCCUGCAGCUAUGUGGUAUGGGGGUCAUUCCUGCCUCUUGGCACCAGGUUGGGGGGCAUGUGCUUGUUGGGCACCAAAGUGAUGGAACCCUCAGGUGCUCUCCGGGAGCCUGAACCUCCUGACUGAGGAACAUGGGCAGAACAUGUUUAUUGCACAGAGUGGGCGCUGCGCACAGGCGUGGCUGUACACGUGCUCUCAGCUCAUCAUCCUUUCCAGUAACUUUAAAAAAACAUCCCUCAGGUCCUGAUAUAUUUCCUUGGAUUCAUUUCACUUGGCUAGAAAUUACACUGUGCUCAAUGCCUUAAUAAAUC
RNAcentral lists this long non-coding RNA (1818 nucleotides) under Homo sapiens (human). RNAcentral's name for it is "long non-coding RNA NONHSAT205116.1". The record is from RNAcentral. Lineage: Eukaryota; Metazoa; Chordata; Mammalia; Primates; Hominidae.